AGUUUUCUGUAUCCGUGCUGAGAUUUCGUGACACACCAGACUACAAGGGCUGGUGAGACUUCCAAGAUAAGUUGGCCC
This 78-nucleotide microRNA precursor is filed under the name Schistosoma margrebowiei. Its description in RNAcentral is "mir-3492 microRNA precursor family". It matches the Rfam family "mir-3492 microRNA precursor family". The record is from Rfam by way of RNAcentral. Lineage: Eukaryota; Metazoa; Platyhelminthes; Trematoda; Strigeidida; Schistosomatidae.